UGAGGAAUAUUGGUCAAUGGGCGAGAGCCUGAACCAGCCAAGUCGCGUGAGGGAAGACGGUCCUAUGGAUUGUAAACCUCUUUUGCCGGGGAGCAAAGAGCGGCACGUGUGCCGCGCCGAGAGUAUCCGGAGAAAAAGCAUCGGCUAACUCCGUGCC
RNAcentral lists this ribosomal RNA (157 nucleotides) under uncultured bacterium. Its description in RNAcentral is "partial 16S ribosomal RNA". It matches the Rfam family "Bacterial small subunit ribosomal RNA", at positions 355 to 509 of the family's 1533-position model. The record is from RNAcentral.